RNAcentral lists this ribosomal RNA (253 nucleotides) under uncultured bacterium. RNAcentral's name for it is "partial 16S ribosomal RNA". It matches the Rfam family "Bacterial small subunit ribosomal RNA", at positions 524 to 776 of the family's 1533-position model. The record is from RNAcentral.
UACGGAGGGGGCUAGCGUUGUUCGGAAUUACUGGGCGUAAAGCGCACGUAGGCGGCUUUGUAAGUUAGAGGUGAAAGUCCGGGGCUCAACCUCGGAUCGGCCGUGGCGACUCGUGGGCUGGAGCACUGUAGAGGCGGGUGGAAUUCCGGGUGUAGCGGUGGAAUGCGUAGAGAUCCGGAAGAACACCAGUGGCGAAGGCGGCCCGCUGGGCAGUGGCUGACGCUGAGGCGCGACAGCGUGGGGAGCAAACAGG